GUUUGAUGUUCUAACGUGGACCCGUUACCCGGGUUGCGGACAGUGUCUGGUGGGUAGUUUGACUGGGGCGGUCUCCUCCUAAAGAGUAACGGAGGAGCACGAAGGUUGGCUAAUCCUGGUCGGACAUCAGGAGGUUAGUGCAAUGGCAUAAGCCAGCUUGACUGCGAGCGUGACGGCGCGAGCAGGUGCGAAAGCAGGUCAUAGUGAUCCGGUGGUUCUGAAUGGAAGGGCCAUCGCUCAACGGAUAAAAGGUACUCCGGGGAUAACAGGCUGAUACCGCCCAAGAGUUCAUAUCGACGGCGGUGUUUGGCACCUCGAUGUCGGCUCAUCACAUCCUGGGGCUGAAGUAGGUCCCAAGGGUAUGGCUGUUCGCCAUUUAAAGUGGUACGCGAGCUGGGUUUAGAACGUCGUGAGACAGUUCGGUCCCUAUCUGCCGUGGGCGCUGGAGAACUGAGGGGGGCUGCUCCUAGUACGAGAGGACCGGAGUGGACGCAUCACUGGUGUUCGGGUUGUCAUGCCAAUGGCACUGCCCGGUAGCUAAAUGCGGAAGAGAUAAGUGCUGAAAGCAUCUAAGCACGAAACUUGCCCCGA
Molecule: ribosomal RNA, 591 nt
Filed under: Salmonella enterica
Lineage: Bacteria; Pseudomonadati; Pseudomonadota; Gammaproteobacteria; Enterobacterales; Enterobacteriaceae
Also listed under: 5 other names
Description: partial 23S ribosomal RNA
Rfam family: Bacterial large subunit ribosomal RNA
Source: RNAcentral